This is a long non-coding RNA of Drosophila persimilis, 697 nucleotides long. RefSeq lists it as uncharacterized. The transcript is spliced from 2 exons. The record is from RefSeq and is a predicted model, not a curated record. Lineage: Eukaryota; Metazoa; Arthropoda; Insecta; Diptera; Drosophilidae.
UAUUUGUGUGCACCCAUUAUAGUUGGGAUUUUUUAGAUCAGCAGUUAUUGCUAUACAGCCGUAUUAAUAAAUCUUCUACUGGCCUACUAAGUCCCAACAUAAUGAGAGUAAAAACCACUGGCUUAACAAUAAGACUAUGUUAAAAUGAGUGAAGUGCAAUUAGAUAUAUUUAUGUAUAGAGCGCGUUCUUGCUCCCAACAUUUACCGAGUCCAUGUAGCCAUGUCUGUCUAUUAGCAGCAGAAAUAACAGGAGGAGCACCCAAAAACCCAAGGAGAGAUACUCCGGCAAAAUGGAAGCACUAAGGCCAAGCCAUUUGCCAAACAGAGCUGCUGCAAUUUUUAAGGGUUUCCAAAGAGUAAAGUUUAUUCAAAAUUUUCAUUUGCAGUUUCUUGAGUCGACACUGACUUAACGCGGGCUUGCCUUCUGGGAAUGUACUUUUUAAAAAGAUAGACCCGGCUCUACCGUUCUAUUGUGCGGGGCUCCAGCUGUUUUUAUCUCUCGUUGUGCGCAUGUGGUAGAUUUUUGUUGCAGUCCUUCUUAGUUCUAUGUAUAUUUUUUGUCUCUCUCUUUUUCAUUUCAUUUUAUAUUAAACUCUUCGGCCGUUCAACAGUUAUAAUUUUGCCCUUGUUUGGUUUAAUUCUAUUCAUGAAAUUUGUGCUAUUAAUAAAUAAUAAAUCAAAUAUUAGUAAAAGUUCA